GUCCCCUUCGUCUAGUGGUGCCUAGGACACCGCCCUUUCACGGCGGUAACAGGGGUUCGAGUCCCCUAGGGGACGCCA
RNAcentral lists this transfer RNA (78 nucleotides) under Pseudomonas sp. ERGC3:05. RNAcentral describes it as "tRNA-Glu". It matches the Rfam family "tRNA". Rfam says of the family: Transfer RNA (tRNA) molecules are approximately 80 nucleotides in length. The record is from RNAcentral. Lineage: Bacteria; Pseudomonadati; Pseudomonadota; Gammaproteobacteria; Pseudomonadales; Pseudomonadaceae.